CAAUAGCGUAUAUUAAAGUUGUUGCAGUUAAAAAGCUCGUAGUUGGAUUUGUGGCGUACGGUGUGUUCCGGGCACUUGUUGUCUGAGUAACCUGCUGUUGCCAUCCUUGGGUGGAACCUGUGUGGCAUUAGGUUGUCGUGCAGGGGAUGCCCAUCAUUUACUGUGAAAAAAUUGGAGUGUUCAAAGCAGGCUUAUGCCGUUGAAUAUAUUAGCAUGGAAUAAUGAGAUAGGACUUUUUCGCUAUUUUGUUGGUUUGCGCGAAGAGGUAAUGAUUAAUAGGGACAGUUGGGGGUAUUCGUAUUCCAUUGUCAGAGGUGAAAUUCUUGGAUUUUUGGAAGACGAACUACUGCGAAAGCAUUUACCAAGGAUGUUUUCAUUAA
RNAcentral lists this ribosomal RNA (380 nucleotides) under uncultured eukaryote. RNAcentral's name for it is "partial 18S ribosomal RNA". It matches the Rfam family "Eukaryotic small subunit ribosomal RNA", at positions 592 to 976 of the family's 1831-position model. The record is from RNAcentral.